Non-coding RNA from Acanthosepion pharaonis, 104 nucleotides. The record is from the annotation of a GenBank genome assembly. Lineage: Eukaryota; Metazoa; Mollusca; Cephalopoda; Sepiida; Sepiidae.
UUACGGCCGUAUCACGUUGAAACACUGGUUCCCGUACGAUCACCAAAGUUAAGCAACGUUGAGCCUGAUCAGUACCUAGAUGGGUGUCCGCUUGGUAAAACUAG